UAACGACUCUCGGCAACGGAUAUCUCGGCUCUCGCAUCGAUGAAGAACGUAGCGAAAUGCGAUACUUGGUGUGAAUUGCAGAAUCCCGUGAACCAUCGAGUCUUUGAACGCAAGUUGCGCCCGAAGCCAUUANGCCGAGGGCACAUCUGCC
Molecule: ribosomal RNA, 151 nt
Filed under: Diplacus mohavensis
Lineage: Eukaryota; Viridiplantae; Streptophyta; Magnoliopsida; Lamiales; Phrymaceae
Description: 5.8S ribosomal RNA
Rfam family: 5.8S ribosomal RNA
About the family: 5.8S ribosomal RNA (5.8S rRNA) is a component of the large subunit of the eukaryotic ribosome. It is transcribed by RNA polymerase I as part of the 45S precursor that also contains 18S and 28S rRNA.
Source: RNAcentral